AGAGCUGUAGCUCAGUGGUAAGAGCAUUUGGCUGAUAUCCAAAAGGUCGGUGGUUCAAUCCCACCCAGCUCUACCA
Molecule: transfer RNA, 76 nt
Filed under: Candidatus Altarchaeales archaeon
Lineage: Archaea; Nanobdellati; Candidatus Altarchaeota; Candidatus Altarchaeia; Candidatus Altarchaeales
Description: tRNA-Ile
Rfam family: tRNA
About the family: Transfer RNA (tRNA) molecules are approximately 80 nucleotides in length. Their secondary structure includes four short double-helical elements and three loops (D, anti-codon, and T loops).
Source: RNAcentral